Molecule: ribosomal RNA, 253 nt
Filed under: uncultured bacterium
Lineage: Bacteria
Description: partial 16S ribosomal RNA
Rfam family: Bacterial small subunit ribosomal RNA
Source: RNAcentral
UACGGAGGGUGCAAGCGUUAUCCGGAUUCACUGGGUUUAAAGGGUGCGUAGGCGGGCAGGUAAGUCAGUGGUGAAAUCUCUGGGCUUAACUCAGAAACUGCCGUUGAUACUAUCUGUCUUGAGUUCUGUGGAGGUGAGCGGAAUAUGUCAUGUAGCGGUGAAAUGCUUAGAUAUGACAUAGAACACCAAUUGCGAAGGCAGCUCACUACACAGCGAUUGACGCUGAGGCACGAAAGCGUGGGGAUCAAACAGG